This 570-nucleotide long non-coding RNA is filed under the name Homo sapiens (human). Its description in RNAcentral is "non-protein coding lnc-MAP3K14-3:5". Lineage: Eukaryota; Metazoa; Chordata; Mammalia; Primates; Hominidae. The record is from RNAcentral.
AACGUGCUCCUGUCCAGCGAUGGGAGCCACGCAGCCCUCUGUGACUUUGGCCAUGCUGUGUGUCUUCAACCUGAUGGCCUGGGAAAGUCCUUGCUCACAGGGGACUACAUCCCUGGCACAGAGACCCACAUGGCUCCGGAGGUGGUGCUGGGCAGGAGCUGCGACGCCAAGGUGGAUGUCUGGAGCAGCUGCUGUAUGAUGCUGCACAUGCUCAACGGCUGCCACCCCUGGACUCAGUUCUUCCGAGGGCCGCUCUGCCUCAAGGUCGGUGACGGCACCCAGCAUGGCCAACAGGGGGAGCUGCAGGGCCCUGGGGCCCAGGCUGCAGGCUGGAGGGGCUGCUCUGCGGUGGCAGAUGGAGCAAGGGGAGGCCUGGUCAUCCAUGUGGGAUCCUAAUUCAAAUACUUGCCACCCAAAUCUGGGGGUACAAGGGGAGAUCCAGCUGCGGAGGCUCACCAAGUUCAUGGCAGGUGAGAACUCUCUUCUGUCCAUACCCUGGGCCCCAUCCACCUGCCUCCUAACGGGCCGGGCCUGGAGGCUGUGGGCGUCUUGCUGCCUGGCUCUGGCCUG